RNAcentral lists this ribosomal RNA (253 nucleotides) under uncultured bacterium. RNAcentral's name for it is "partial 16S ribosomal RNA". It matches the Rfam family "Bacterial small subunit ribosomal RNA", at positions 524 to 776 of the family's 1533-position model. The record is from RNAcentral.
UACGAAGGGGGCUAGCGUUGUUCGGAAUUACUGGGCGUAAAGCGCGCGCAGGCGGUUUCUCAAGUCAGUGGUGAAAGCCCGGAGCUCAACUCCGGAACUGCCAUUGAUACUGCUUAACUUGAAUCAACUUGAGGUGGAUGGAAUAUUACAUGUAGCGGUGAAAUGCUUAGAUAUGUAAUAGAACACCGAUUGCGAAGGCAGUUCACUAAGGUUGUAUUGACACUGAGGCACGAAAGCGUGGGGAUCAAACAGG